Molecule: transfer RNA, 68 nt
Filed under: Salmo salar (Atlantic salmon)
Lineage: Eukaryota; Metazoa; Chordata; Actinopteri; Salmoniformes; Salmonidae
Rfam family: tRNA
About the family: Transfer RNA (tRNA) molecules are approximately 80 nucleotides in length. Their secondary structure includes four short double-helical elements and three loops (D, anti-codon, and T loops). Further hydrogen bonds mediate the characteristic L-shaped molecular structure. tRNAs have two regions of fundamental functional importance: the anti-codon, which is responsible for specific mRNA codon recognition, and the 3' end, to which the tRNAs corresponding amino acid is attached (by aminoacyl-tRNA synthetases). tRNAs cope with the degeneracy of the genetic code in two manners: having more than one tRNA (with a specific anti-codon) for a particular amino acid; and 'wobble' base-pairing, i.e. permitting non-standard base-pairing at the 3rd anti-codon position.
Source: Rfam by way of RNAcentral
CCCCGUAGCUCAGUUGGUAGAGCAUGGUGUUUGCAAUGCCAGGGUUGUGGGUUUGAUUCCCACGGGGG